ACUGAACUUUUUGGCACUGUUAUCACACUCGAUGAGUGGUCUGGAACAAUAAGAGUAGGAUCACAAGUUCUUCGAAAAUGGUUGGAGAAGAAGCUAGCCUCUUUGUUCUGUGACAGAAGCAAUGUAAUCCCAGUUUUCCAACUACAUGAUGUUGAUCCUUCAUCCGCAUUUGUAGCCCCACCAACAGCAAGUGGCAUCUCCAUGCCAAAUUCAAAUGGAGUGGAGUUUGGAUAUGGAUAGACACUAGUAAUGUCAGAUUCAGAUGGACCAGUAGAAAGACUCAACUCCAGAUCAACCUUGGGCUGCAAUUCUAGUUCUUUAAGAUUUGAACUA
Molecule: unclassified non-coding RNA, 333 nt
Filed under: Hevea brasiliensis (rubber tree)
Lineage: Eukaryota; Viridiplantae; Streptophyta; Magnoliopsida; Malpighiales; Euphorbiaceae
Source: RNAcentral